Molecule: long non-coding RNA, 812 nt
Filed under: Homo sapiens (human)
Lineage: Eukaryota; Metazoa; Chordata; Mammalia; Primates; Hominidae
Description: HSALNT0373332
Source: RNAcentral
CGUGUGACGUCAUAGAGAGGCGGGGCUUUGGCGCCAGAGGGCUGCCCCUCGGCCGGUGACCGAGUUAAGCACCGAGCUGUAAAUCGCUUGAGACCUGUAUUUGGUUGUUUUGUUGGUUUUGCCAAGUAAGGUCACUUGAGGAUUUCUUGGCUCGAGGUCCCAGGUUGCGCAGACUCUGACUGCAUCGAGUUGAGAAUUUUGGUCAGAAUGUUAAAGUGGAAACCUACCCCAGGCUGUCAUGAGAUGGGGUCCCACUAUAUUGACCAGGCUGGUCUGUAACUCCGGGCCUCAAGGGAUCUUCCCAACUCCACCUCUCAAAGUGCUGGAUUACAGCCUGAGCCACUGGACCUGGCUACUGUCCAUUCUUUGAUGAAGACAAAGUUUACCCUGAAAUCCUGUUCAGGGAGGUGGCCACUCCUGACUGCUCCAGAGAGGAGCUCCCAUGAGCAGAAGGACUGUGGCAGCUGCUGUACUCAGUGCUACCAAGCAGAGAGUUAUGGAGGCUCCAGGCUGACACCUCCACUGUCAGAACCCCUACAUCAGUGCUCCCCAAAGUAUUUCUCACUCCAUGAGAUUUUACUAAGUGUUCUUGGGAGGGAAGAUGGAGAGUUGGUUCUGUGAUAAAAUAAGUCAAGGAAAUGUUGGUUGAGACAACUUCUCAGAGCCUCUGACAUGCUAUAUUGUGUUAUGUGUGUGAAAUGUUUAGGGUGUGGUAGGGGGAACACAAUGUGGUAUUUUCCUGCCAUAUUUAACCCCAGAACCAUUUUUUCCAAUAAUCCCUGGAAAUCUGCAGAACACAGUUUAGGGAAUGC